CAGUCGCCGCGGUAAUACGUAGGUGGCAAGCGUUGUCCGGAAUUAUUGGGCGUAAAGGGCUCGCAGGCGGUUUCUUAAGUCCGAUGUGAAAGCCCCCGGCUCAACCGGGGUGGGUCAUUGGAAACUGGGAAACUUGAGUGCAGAAGAGGAGAGUGGAAUUCCACGUGUAGCGGUGAAAUGCGUAGAGAUGUGGAGGAACACCAGUGGCGAAGGCGACUCUCUGGUCUGUAACUGACGCUGAGGAGCGAAAGCGUGGGGAGCGAACAGGAUUAGAUACCCCUGUAGUCCCUGUCUCUUAUAC
RNAcentral lists this ribosomal RNA (301 nucleotides) under uncultured bacterium. RNAcentral describes it as "partial 16S ribosomal RNA". It matches the Rfam family "Bacterial small subunit ribosomal RNA", at positions 509 to 807 of the family's 1533-position model. The record is from RNAcentral.